This 96-nucleotide transfer RNA is filed under the name Trichoderma virens Gv29-8. Its description in RNAcentral is "tRNA-Leu for anticodon UAG". It matches the Rfam family "tRNA". Rfam says of the family: Transfer RNA (tRNA) molecules are approximately 80 nucleotides in length. Their secondary structure includes four short double-helical elements and three loops (D, anti-codon, and T loops). Lineage: Eukaryota; Fungi; Ascomycota; Sordariomycetes; Hypocreales; Hypocreaceae. The record is from Rfam by way of RNAcentral.
GCGAGUUUGGCCGAGUGGUCUAAGGCGCCGUGUUUAGGAAGGAACUCCUGAUCCGCGGUGGGCAUGCCCGCGCAGGUUCGAACCCUGCAGCUCGCA